Chelonia mydas (Green sea turtle) is the source of this 3128-nucleotide long non-coding RNA. RefSeq lists it as uncharacterized. The record is from RefSeq and is a predicted model, not a curated record. Lineage: Eukaryota; Metazoa; Chordata; Testudines; Cheloniidae. The transcript has 3 exons.
CGUAGAGACUGUCCAGUUUGACAAAUGUACAUGGCAGAGGGGCAUAGCUGGCACAUGAUGGCAUAUAUCACAUUGGUGGAUGUGCAGGUGAACGAGCCUCUGAUAGUGUAGUGUGGUAGUAUUCCAAAGAUAUCAAUAAAAUCUGUAUUCCCCCACCUUUCUCCUGCUCUCUCCUCCACCUUGAGCCUGUCUGUCUUAGAAACAGGAGAAGUAAAUACCCUUUACACAGCAGGACUGGAAGUAAAAUUAACUCUUCUAACCAACAAAAGGUUAUUCUGAAAAUAAGUCUCUAAUACUUUGGCUCCCAAUAAGAGACUUUAAAGGAUUUGAUUGUUUCUAUUUCAAUAUAAAUGCUCGUUUUAAUUUCUUGUGUUCUAUCAAUACACUUUCAGUUUUAGAAUGAAUGCUUUUGGGUGUUUGCCGAGUAAACUAAGGUCUCUGUAGAACUCCCCCACCCCCAAAUCUAUCUACCAUGUGAUGUUGGAUAGUGAGAGAGUUUAUAGUCACCUUAACUCUUCAGGCCUUCAAGAUCACUACAAUAUGCCCCAACUCAAGUCCCAUCCUUAUACAAAACAUCUUAAGGGUGGUGCUGCUUUUAACUCCAGUUGGCUGCCCAGUCAGGGAUGUGGGCUAUACUGUUCAAGUUAGCACAGCUUGUCAGCUGCUAACAGAGUCCCUCUGUGCAGCUCAAGUAGUAUUUCAUAGUGUGGCUGUAUUUACUUGAGCUGGGCUAACUCCAGAGGAGUUAACUCAGGUGUAGAUAAUAUCAGUUUACUCUGCUGUGAAGACAUUUAUCAUAUGUGCCAUGGUGUGUCCCAUAUAAUUAUAUUCUUUCAUUCAUCUGCUUGCAUGCCCACUGCCUUGCACUGUUUUAGGGACAGCUCUAUGGACUGGAUCAGGAAUUACUUACAGUGGGUUCCUACAGCUUCCAAUGUGAUAGGAUGGAGGUGUCUCUGUAAUCGGAAGGAUCAUGCAGCCUUGUUUCUGUGAUGAGUUAUGUGGAUUCUGCAGGCAGAGGAGCACUAUGAUCUAUUGUUGCCAUGGGGAUUUCUAGCGGUCUGGUAUCAGACAUGACAGUGUUACAGGGCAGAGAGAAGUGCAGGUGGUGUUCCAGAGGGAAUCCAUAGGCCAAGGUGUGAGGCAGUGCCGCUCAUACUUAGCUAUUCAUUAACCUAGUUCUUGGGCAGUCAGUAAAACAGUUACUAACCUGUUCUGUAACUGUUGUUCCUCUAGAUGUUGCACAUGUCAGUUCCACUUCAGGUUUGUGUGCACCAGUGAGAGAUUUUUCCUUUAGUGGCACCCCUCGUGGUGGCAUGCACACACCAUCUGCAGCCUUGAGCUGCUGUGCUCUGCAUAACAGGCGGAGUCACCUCCAACCCCUCUCAGUUCCUUCCUAUUGGACAGACUCCAAUAUAAAGGGGAAGAAUGGCAGGUCCUGGAGUGGACAUGUGCAGCACAUCCCGAAGAACAACAGUUACAGAACAGGCUAGGAACCGUUCUUCAAGUGAUUGCACUGUCCAUUCCACUUCAAGUUGACUCAAAUAGUUCAAUCCAAAGAUGGGUUUGAGUCUACCUGAAGGACUACUCAUCUGAACUUGGCAUUGUUUCUGAAGUGCUGAAUGAAUCGUGAAGGUGUGUACCGAUGACAAAGUUGCAGCCUUACAAAUGUCUGUUAUAGGCACUUGGGCUAGAAAAGCUGCAAAAGUUGGUUGAGAUCUUGUUGAUCACCCUUCCGGGCAGGGUUACGUUGGUAAUGUCAUAGCACAUAUGCUUACAGAAGGAAAUCCAUGAGUGGACCCUCUGAAUAGAAACUGGAAGGCGCUUGAUCCUGUCUGCAACACUAUGAACAAUUCAGAUGACAAUCUAAACAAUCUGGUUCUGUCCAAGUAAAAAGCUAAUGUUUUUCUGACAUCCAAGCAUGCGAGUGAAUUAACCUGCUGGCAACCUGUGAGAUAGCAUCACAGCACAUUAUAAAUAUGGUCAAGUCAUGAUCGCUUGAACCUAAGUUCACUGAUGAUUGAUCAAGAUAGUGACUUUGAUGAAGAUUAACAACAGCUACAGUUUGAGAUUCAUUUUGACACAAUGAAAGUAGUCCUCUUCAUUUCCUCUCUUGAACUUGUGAUGAUGUACAAUAGCUGCUCUGCUCUACUCCGGGGGUGGUUGCAUUGGUCCCUGUGUAUAUACCAGCUUCUUAGAUUUGUAAAACCCCCAGGACGACGAUCGAUUGUUGUCCAUGUCCAAAUAAGUCAAGUCAAGAAGUAAUCGGCUUAGUUUGCAACAAGGGAGAUUUAGGUUAGAUAUUAGGAAAAACUUCUAACGGUGAGCAUAGUUAAGUAUUGGAACUGGUUACCUUGGGACACUGGGGGAUCCCAUCUUUGGUUUUUAAAAAACAUGUUAGACAAACAUCUGUCUGGGAUGGAUAAGGGACACUUAAUCCUUUCUUAGGUCGGGAGCGGGGGAAAUGGACUAGAUAAGUUUUUGAAUUCCCUUCCAACCCUACAUUUCUAUGAUUUUAUGCCACAUUUAAAAUACAAGUAUACUUCAGUUACAUGCAGUAGCCAAUAAUUUAUUCUUAUUGGGGGCAAGGAUAUGGAGAGAGAAGUGGACAUGAAGAAGAUGCUACUGCAUUAGAUAUGCACAAUGACAUUUUCCACUGUGACUAACUUUGCUCCAUGUGAUCUUGUGCAGUCAUCAGUGUUAAAGAAGGUGGCCAAGUGAGAGAUCUAGACACUGCAUUGCAAAAAGCCAGAGCUCCUGAAACCAAGCAACUACUAAUCUGUUCUACAAAUAUACAUGUUCAAGGACACAGCACCCUCAUCAACCCAACUAAGCAGGCCCCCCCUUUUAGAGAUAACAGCAACAAAGAACAUCUGAAGAUAAAUAAAAUAUUGCCCUGCAAUAUUCAAAGCCUAGUGAUUCUUCUUGCUAUGUUUAGUGUGGAAGAAAGAGCAGAGUUGAAAAAGCAUUCACCUACUCAUAUCAUCAGGCUGGCCGGUUGUGACAAUCCAAAUCCAGACACUGCAAAGGGAGAACAGGGCUCUAAAUCUGAAGGAAUAAGUAAUUGAAGCAACUGGUUGUAUACAAUAUUAUUGUGUAUAAAAAUACAUCACAUAAGGUCUUUGAUGAAA